This 254-nucleotide ribosomal RNA is filed under the name uncultured bacterium. RNAcentral describes it as "partial 16S ribosomal RNA". It matches the Rfam family "Bacterial small subunit ribosomal RNA", at positions 524 to 776 of the family's 1533-position model. The record is from RNAcentral.
UACGUAGGGGGCGAGCGUUACCCGGAUUUACUGGGCGUAAAGCGCGUGUAGGCGGCUGGCCAAGCGUGGUGUGAAAUCUUCGGGCUUAACCCGAAAACUGCAUUGCGAACUGGUCUGGCUAGAGUGUGUGAGAGGGUAGUGGAAUUCCCGGUGUAGCGGUGAAAUGCGUAGAUAUCAAGCGGAACACCGGUGGCGAAGGCGGCCUUCUGGACAGUGACUGACGCUGAGACGCGAAAGCGUGGGGAGCAAACAGG